UCUGGAAACUGUCUGACUNGAGUGUAGAAGGGGAGAGUGGAAUUCCAUGUGUAGCGGUGAAAUGCGUAGAUAUAUGGAGGAACACCAGUGGCGAAAGCGGCUCUCUGNUCUGUCACUGACGCUGAGGCUCGAAAGCGUGGGUAGCGAACAGGAUUAGAUACCCUGGUAGUCCACGCCGUAAACGAUGAGUGCUAGGUGUUAGGCCCUUUCCGGGGCUUAGUGCCGGAGCUAACGCAAUAAGCACUCCGCCUGGGGAGUACGACCGCAAGGUUGAAACUCAAAGGAAUUGACGGGGGCCCGCACAAGCGGUGGAGCAUGUGGUUUAAUUCGAAGCAACGCGAAGAACCUUACCAGGUCUUGACAUCCCGAUGCUAUUCUUAGAGAUAGGAAGUUACUUCGGUACAUCGGAGACAGGUGGUGCAUGGUUGUCGUCAGCUCGUGUCGUGAGAUGUUGGGUUAAGUCCCGCAACGAGCGCAACCCUUAUUGUUAGUUGCCAUCAUUAAGUUGGGCACUCUAGCGAGACUGCCGGUAAUAAACCGGAGGAAGGUGGGGAUGACGUCAAAUCAUCAUGCCCCUUAUGACCUGGGCUACACACGUGCUACAAUGGUCGGUACAACGAGUUGCGAGCCGGUGGCGGCAAGCUAAUCUCUGAAAGCCGAUCUCAGUUCGGAUUGGAGGCUGCAACUCGCCUCCAUGAAGUCGGAAUCGCUAGUAAUCGCGGAUCAGCACGCCGCGGUGAAUACGUUCCCGGGCCUUGUACNC
This 763-nucleotide ribosomal RNA is filed under the name uncultured bacterium. RNAcentral's name for it is "bacterial SSU rRNA". It matches the Rfam family "Bacterial small subunit ribosomal RNA", at positions 625 to 1388 of the family's 1533-position model. The record is from RNAcentral.